GAUGAACGCUGGCGGCGUGCCUAACACAUGCAAGUCGAGCGAACAGACGAGGAGCUUGCUCCUCUGACGUUAGCGGCGGACGGGUGAGUAACACGUGGAUAACCUACCUAUAAGACUGGGAUAACUUCGGGAAACCGGAGCUAAUACCGGAUAAUAUAUUGAACCGCAUGGUUCAAUAGUGAAAGACGGUUUUGCUGUCACUUAUAGAUGGAUCCGCGCCGCAUUAGCUAGUUGGUAAGGUAACGGCUUACCAAGGCAACGAUGCGUAGCCGACCUGAGAGGGUGAUCGGCCACACUGGAACUGAGACACGGUCCAGACGCCUACGGGAGGCAGCAGUAAGGAAUCUUCCGCAAUGGGCGAAAGCCUGACGGAGCAACGCCGCGUGAGUGAUGAAGGUCUUCGGAUCGUAAAACUCUGUUAUUAGGGAAGAACAAAUGUGUAAGUAACUAUGCACGUCUUGACGGUACCUAAUCAGAAAGCCACGGCUAACUACGUG
RNAcentral lists this ribosomal RNA (497 nucleotides) under uncultured bacterium. RNAcentral describes it as "partial 16S ribosomal RNA". It matches the Rfam family "Bacterial small subunit ribosomal RNA", at positions 28 to 507 of the family's 1533-position model. The record is from RNAcentral.